GGGCUAUCUUCAGUAGCUAUCUAUCGCUUAACUCUGUCUCUAACAUCCUUCCAACUACCAGCAUAGCAAUCUAAUUAAUACAGCUGUCUGGAAGUUAUGCAUGAAGAAAUACUUCACUGGUCCUUGAAGACUUGUGCCAGAAUCUCAACCCAGUCACGAGAACGUAGAGGCACAAGGACACCCUGUGGGGACCUACUGCUGGGCCAGCUGGGCUGGUCAGCCCACAUCUCCUUACUUCUCAGCCCAGUAGUUUCAAAGACUUAUCUACUUCUUUGGUUAAAAAGUCUUAACUCCUGGACAAAGCCCCACUACUUUCUAUACUGGCUUUCUCUUUAUAAUAAAGCUCCUUGUUGAAUUUACUCUCCAUUAUUUGUGAAAUUCUCUCUUUGAGUUUGUAACACCAAGGACCUGAAAUAUCACUGAUUCUGUAGACGUUUUAGUGACUGUGAGACCAUGACCACUGAGUUAAGCCCACUUGAGACUAGAAAGUCUCUGUCAUACUUAGGGACCACCAUUUUCCCACUUCACUUGGGCAUUAGUGCUCCUGGUCCUUAAGGCUUUGGACUCUGGCUGGGAUUUACAACACCAAACCUACAUUUUCUUAACUUUCAUUGUUUGGAUGGGACUGUAUUGCUGGCUUACACAGCACCAGCUUGGAAAGAACAGAUCAUGGGACUUUCGUGCUACCAUCAUUUUGUGCGUCAGUUUCCCACAGUAACCCUUUCCUUCUACGUCUAGGCACCAUAUUGAUUCUAUUUCCUUGGAGACUCUUGACUAACCAGGAUUUGUAGAAGGCAGUUUGUGUGAUGUUGUGACCGAUUUGGUGGAAAUGACAAAGUGAGGGCUAAAAUUGUGACAGAAUGGAUAAGGAAAUUGGAAUAGACUCGACAGGUAUUUAGGGCCUCGAACUGGCUCUACCUAAUGACAAAGAGGUUAAAUAUGGGAAUCAUGGAGAUAAUUAUCAAUAGAAUAAUCCUUAGCUAUUUGGAUGGAGUCCUUGUGUGAAUGAUGGGAUGAGGACACGGAAGACUAGAUCUGGUGGGUCGUGGGGAUGAGGGGAUGGGAUAAGUGUCAGUGUGGGUACGUUUGCCUUGAAAGUAGAUAGGCAACUGGAGAUGAGCAUAAAAUCUUGUAAAAAUUUCAGAGCUAGAGUUACUGAAAUAGAAAAUGUUUGCAGAGAGGUAGGUGUGGCUGAAGCAUGACACCUGAGAACUCUCCCAAAGGAAUUCGAGUGAGAAGAUGGGAGAGUCAAGGCCUGAGCCUUUGUGAGAGUGAAUGAGGAGUAGGUUCCUGAGGACUAGCAGUGAUGCCAUGCG
Molecule: long non-coding RNA, 1316 nt
Filed under: Cricetulus griseus (Chinese hamster)
Lineage: Eukaryota; Metazoa; Chordata; Mammalia; Rodentia; Cricetidae
Description: lncRNA (ENSCGRG00015041579.1)
Source: RNAcentral